RNAcentral lists this ribosomal RNA (253 nucleotides) under uncultured bacterium. RNAcentral describes it as "partial 16S ribosomal RNA". It matches the Rfam family "Bacterial small subunit ribosomal RNA", at positions 524 to 776 of the family's 1533-position model. The record is from RNAcentral.
UACAGAGGCCUCGAGCGUUAGGCGGAAUCACUGGGCUUAAAGCGUGUGUAGGCGGAGUUCUAAGUACCUUGUGAAAUCCCACGGCUCAACCGUGGAACUGCUUGGUAUACUGGUUCUCUUGAGGUACCUAGGGGCGAGCGGAACAAGUGGUGGAGCGGUGAAAUGCGUAGAUAUCACUUGGAACGCCAACGGUGAAAAUAGCUCGCUGGGGGUAUCCUGACGCUGAGACACGAAAGCCAGGGGAGCAAACGGG